GACGUGUCGAGCGAAGACGAGAACGAGACA
This 30-nucleotide small nuclear RNA is filed under the name Arabidopsis thaliana (thale cress). RNAcentral describes it as "snRNA_05012". Lineage: Eukaryota; Viridiplantae; Streptophyta; Magnoliopsida; Brassicales; Brassicaceae. The record is from RNAcentral.